MicroRNA precursor from Trichomalopsis sarcophagae, 100 nucleotides. It matches the Rfam family "mir-928 microRNA precursor family". The record is from Rfam. NCBI's taxonomy places the organism in Eukaryota, Metazoa, Arthropoda, Insecta, Hymenoptera, Pteromalidae.
GUCCAGUACUCGUGGCUGUGGAAGCUAGCGAACGUGACGCAGUCGCCUUACAGCUAUCUGUGGACGAACGCGAGCACGGCGCCGGAGCUCGUGGCCGGAC